RNAcentral lists this ribosomal RNA (325 nucleotides) under uncultured eukaryote. Its description in RNAcentral is "partial 18S ribosomal RNA". It matches the Rfam family "Eukaryotic small subunit ribosomal RNA", at positions 1470 to 1796 of the family's 1831-position model. The record is from RNAcentral.
CCCUUAGAUGUUCUGGGCUGCACGCGCGCUACACUGAUGCGCUCAACGAGUUUUAACCUUGCCUGGAAAGGUUGGGUAAUCUUUUUAAAACGCAUCGUGAUGGGGAUAGAUUAUUGCAAUUAUUAAUCUUCAACGAGGAAUUCCUAGUAAGCGCGAGUCAUCAGCUCGUGCUGAUUACGUCCCUGCCCUUUGUACACACCGCCCGUCGCUCCUACCGAUUCAGUGAUCCGGUGAAUAAUUCGGACUGCGGCAUUGACCGGUUCCCGAUCGUUGCUGCGGAAAGUUUAGUGAACCUUAUCACUUAGAGGAAGGAGAAGUCGUAACA